ACCAUUUUAUUUAAGAAUCAACCCUCAAAUUAAUAAAAAAGGAUUGAAAUUGUGAAGAACUAGGGCUUGAUUUUUGAAAACGAAUUUUGGUGAUUUGAAAGACAAUUUGAACUCCGGUUUUGAUAAACUUUAUAUGUACAGACUCGUGGAGAGAGGAGGAAUCCGUUGAUGUAAAUUUUGUAAUUUUUCGAGAAGUGGGACCGGGGCUCGAGUUUUACCAACUUCGUGAAUUUUAGUACUUUUCGAGUAUUUUUGAUUGGGUUAUGUUUCCUUAGCCCAUAUUUAUAUAUUUGUUGUGGUUUUGACUAGAUUCGAUGUGCGUACAAGAAGAUUCAAAAAGGAAAAGGCAUUGCGGACAAGUCUACGACUAGCUAGAGGUGAGUAGUUUUUAUAGAGGAGCUUGAGGGUUUGAAACCCCGGUUUAUCAC
RNAcentral lists this long non-coding RNA (428 nucleotides) under Nicotiana benthamiana. RNAcentral describes it as "long non-coding RNA (NBEN_LNC039324)". Lineage: Eukaryota; Viridiplantae; Streptophyta; Magnoliopsida; Solanales; Solanaceae. The record is from RNAcentral.